AUGGCGGCCGCGGCAGCAGUGGCACCGGAGAAGAAGCUCACGCUGAGGAGCUCCGACGGCGUGGAGUUUGUGGUGGAGGAGAUGGUGGCGAUGGAGUCACAGGCCAUCAAGCACAUGAUCGAGGAUGACUGCGCCAACAACAUCAUCCCCCUCCCCAAUGUAAUAGCAGAGAUCCUUGCCAUGGUCAUCAAAUACUGCAAGCAGCACGUCGAGAAGCACGGAGCCGAAGCCACAGACUCCACCACCAAGGCCUCCGAGCGGUACCUCAAGACCUUCGACAAGGAUUUCGUCGACGUCGAACAACGCAUCCUCUUCGACCUCAUCUUGGCUGUAAACUACCUGGACAUCAAGGGGUUGCUGGAUCUGACCUGCCAGAAGGCCGCUGACAUGAUAAAGGGGCUGACUCCAGAGGAGAUCCGUAGGACCUUCAACAUCAAGAACGACCUCACCAAAGAGGAAGUGGAUGAACUCUGGAUGAAGAACUAG
RNAcentral lists this ribosomal RNA (486 nucleotides) under Triticum aestivum (bread wheat). RNAcentral's name for it is "partial small subunit ribosomal RNA". Lineage: Eukaryota; Viridiplantae; Streptophyta; Magnoliopsida; Poales; Poaceae. The record is from RNAcentral.